CCGGCACGGGUGAGUAACACGUAUCCAACCUGCCGUCUACUCUUGGACAGCCUUCUGAAAGGAAGAUUAAUACAAGAUGGCAUCAUGAAUCCGCAUGUUCACAUGAUUAAAGGUACUCCGGUAGACGAUGGGGAUGCGUUCCAUUAGAUAGUAGGCGGGGUAACGGCCCACCUAGUCUUCGAUGGAUAGGGGUUCUGAGAGGAAGGUCCCCCACAUUGGAACUGAGACACGGUCCAA
RNAcentral lists this ribosomal RNA (237 nucleotides) under uncultured bacterium. RNAcentral describes it as "partial 16S ribosomal RNA". It matches the Rfam family "Bacterial small subunit ribosomal RNA", at positions 100 to 334 of the family's 1533-position model. The record is from RNAcentral.